GAUGAACGCUGGCUACAGGCUUAACACAUGCAAGUCGAGGGGAAACGACGGGGAAGCUUGCUUCCCCGGGCGUCGACCGGCGCACGGGUGAGUAACGCGUAUCCAACCUGCCUCUGACUGAGGGAUAACCCGUCGAAAGUCGGCCUAAUACCUCAUGGCAUCGUCUGCGGGCAUCCAACGACGAUUAAAGAUUUCAUCGGUCAGGGAUGGGGAUGCGUCUGAUUAGCUUGUUGGCGGGGUAACGGCCCACCAAGGCUACGAUCAGUAGGGGUUCUGAGAGGAAGGGCCCCCACAGGGGAACUGAGACACGGUCCAAACGCCUACGGGAGGCAGCAGUGAGGAAUAGUGGUCAAUGGGCGGGAGCCGGAACCAGCCAAGUAGCGUGCAGGAGGACGGGCCUAUGGGUUGUAAACUGCUUUUAGGCGGGGAUAAAGUGAGGGACGUGUCCUUCAUUGCAGGUACCGCAUGAAUAAGGACCGGCUAAUUCCGUG
Molecule: ribosomal RNA, 491 nt
Filed under: uncultured bacterium
Lineage: Bacteria
Description: partial 16S ribosomal RNA
Rfam family: Bacterial small subunit ribosomal RNA
Source: RNAcentral